This 973-nucleotide ribosomal RNA is filed under the name Leotiomycetes sp. genotype csw021. RNAcentral describes it as "eukaryotic LSU rRNA". The stretch from base 445 to 973 matches the Rfam family "Eukaryotic large subunit ribosomal RNA", at positions 1 to 533 of the family's 3401-position model. Lineage: Eukaryota; Fungi; Ascomycota; Leotiomycetes. The record is from RNAcentral.
CAUUACAGAAGGAUAUCGCCCUCGGGCUUCUCUUCUCACCCUUUGUUUACCACACGUAGUUGCCUUGGCGCUCCGCGCCAGUGGAUCGAAACUCCUGAAUCAUUGCCGUCUGAGUACUAUUCAAUAGUUAAAACUUUCAACAACGGAUCUCUUGGUUCUGGCAUCGAUGAAGAACGCAGCGAAAUGCGAUAAGUAAUGUGAAUUGCAGAAUUUAGUGAAUCAUCGAAUCUUUGAACGCACAUUGCGCCCUCCGGUAUUCCGGGGGGCAUGCCUGUUCGAGCGUCAUUACAACCCUCAAGCUCUGCUUGGUGUUGAGCCCGCCCCGGCCUGCCCGGGGCUCGCUUCAAAGUCAGUGGCGGCCGCCGUCCGACCUUCAGCGCAGUAAUGCUCGCCGCUGUUAGGGAAGGGUAGCCAGGGCCGUCAUACAACCCCCACACACAAGGUUGACCUCGGAUCAGGUAGGGAUACCCGCUGAACUUAAGCAUAUCAAUAAGCGGAGGAAAAGAAACCAACAGGGAUUGCCUCAGUAACGGCGAGUGAAGCGGCAACAGCUCAAAUUUGAAAGCUGGCUCCUUCGGGGCCCGCGUUGUAAUUUGUAGAGGACGCUUCGGGCGCGGCACCGGUCUAAGUUCUCUGGAACGAGACGUCAUAGAGGGUGAGAAUCCCGUAUGUGACUGGCUGCCUGUGCCCAUGUGAAGCUCCUUCGACGAGUCGAGUUGUUUGGGAAUGCAGCUCAAAAUGGGAGGUGUACUCCUUCUAAAGCUAAAUAUUGGCCAGAGACCGAUAGCGCACAAGUAGAGUGAUCGAAAGAUGAAAAGCACUUUGGAAAGAGAGUUAAACAGUACGUGAAAUUGUUGAAAGGGAAGCGCUUGCAAUCAGACUUGCGCGGCGUCGAUCAGCCUGGGUUCUCCCUGCUCCACUCGGCGCCGCUCAGGCCAGCAUCAGUUUCGGCGGUGGGAUAAAGGCCUAGGGA